This 202-nucleotide long non-coding RNA is filed under the name Gossypium raimondii (Peruvian cotton). RNAcentral describes it as "long non-coding RNA (GRAI_LNC002897)". Lineage: Eukaryota; Viridiplantae; Streptophyta; Magnoliopsida; Malvales; Malvaceae. The record is from RNAcentral.
UUUUGUGUAAAUUUGGAUGGAGGAGUUUGGAUAGAAUCGAAACUAGUAGUGGCAAUUUUGGCUACCCUCUCUCAUUCCCCAAUUUUCUGAUAGUUUUGUCGUUUCUCCUUUUCUUUUUUCUCUCUGUUUUUAUCUUUUAUUCUUUUUCUUUUUCUUCCCAAUCCGAAUGAUAACUGUUUCUUUUCAAAAAUCUCGGUUGCUC